This 71-nucleotide transfer RNA is filed under the name Marmota monax (woodchuck). RNAcentral describes it as "tRNA.Ala". It matches the Rfam family "tRNA". Rfam says of the family: Transfer RNA (tRNA) molecules are approximately 80 nucleotides in length. Lineage: Eukaryota; Metazoa; Chordata; Mammalia; Rodentia; Sciuridae. The record is from RNAcentral.
GAGGUUGUAGCUCAGUGGUAGAGUGCUUGCCUAGCAUGUGUGAGGCACUGGGUUCAAUCCUCAGCACCACA